RNAcentral lists this ribosomal RNA (428 nucleotides) under uncultured prokaryote. Its description in RNAcentral is "bacterial SSU rRNA". It matches the Rfam family "Bacterial small subunit ribosomal RNA", at positions 355 to 774 of the family's 1533-position model. The record is from RNAcentral.
UGAGGAAUAUUACGCAAUGGGGGAAACCCUGACGCAGCAACGCCGCGUGGGUGAAGAAGGCCCUCGGGUCGUAAACCUCUGUCUAGAGGGAAGAAACCAUUGAGGUCGAACAGGCCUCUUUGCUGACGGUACCUCUGAAGGAAGCACCGGCUAACUCCGUGCCAGCAGCCGCGGUAAUACGGAGGGUGCGAGCGUUAAUCGGAAUCACUGGGCGUAAAGCGCACGUAGGCGGUGUCGUAAGUCGGAUGUGAAAGCCCUCGGCUCAACCGGGGAACUGCAUUCGAGACUGCGAUGCUUGAGUGCCGGAGAGGGUGGCGGAAUUCCAGGUGUAGGAGUGAAAUCCGUAGAUAUCUGGAGGAACACCAGUGGCGAAGGCGGCCACCUGGCCGGCAACUGACGCUGAGGUGCGAAAGCGUGGGGAUCAAACA